Molecule: transfer RNA, 73 nt
Filed under: Mercenaria mercenaria
Lineage: Eukaryota; Metazoa; Mollusca; Bivalvia; Venerida; Veneridae
Description: transfer RNA arginine (anticodon CCU)
Rfam family: tRNA
About the family: Transfer RNA (tRNA) molecules are approximately 80 nucleotides in length.
Source: RNAcentral
GCCUCCGUGGCCUAAUGGAUAUGGUAUCGGCUUCCUAAGCCGAGGAUUGCGGGUUUGAGACCCGCCGGAGGUU